GUACAUGUGCUGUGUGUGUGUGUGUGUGUGUGUGUGUGUGUGUGUGUGUUUGUGCGCGUGCGUGUGCUCAUGCACAGACCC
RNAcentral lists this microRNA precursor (81 nucleotides) under Tupaia belangeri (northern tree shrew). RNAcentral's name for it is "miRNA (ENSTBEG00000019779.1)". Lineage: Eukaryota; Metazoa; Chordata; Mammalia; Scandentia; Tupaiidae. The record is from RNAcentral.